This 2268-nucleotide long non-coding RNA is filed under the name Oreochromis niloticus (Nile tilapia). RNAcentral's name for it is "lncRNA (ENSONIG00000041582.1)". The record is from RNAcentral. Lineage: Eukaryota; Metazoa; Chordata; Actinopteri; Cichliformes; Cichlidae.
AUGACAGUGGGCCAAACGAAGCACACGGAAGCGUCAGCUAUGGUUCGUACGUACUGUGUUGUUGGUUGCAACGGUAGAUCACACGAUAGGGAAGGCAAGAAGCUGGAAAUGGGCUCUCUUUUCAUCGUUUCCCCUCCUGGAGGCAACGGGAGGGAUCUCAUGUAUCCGAUAUUACUAAACGAAGACGUCAGGCUUGGAUUGCAGCGGUCAGACUCGGACCGGCACGCAAGGCGAGUGCAACGAAAGCGAAAAAGAGCACCCAUCGGAGCUGCAGAGUAUGAAGGUGUGCCCCGUGCAGAAGUAAUAGAUGAAGAUCUGACAUCAUAUCAUGUGAGGGUGAAGACACAACACUGCUUGAUAAGAAUGUUAAGGUGUGCUGUGUUUUGGUGAAUAUGUGCCCUAGUGUGGUUGUCAAACCAGGGCCAAAUGAAACUGCUGUGUUGCAUGUACAGUUCAUUGUAAAUAAUUGUACUUUCUGUAAAGUGGUUUCAAUAAAACAGAAAUGAAAAGUAUGUUUAUUUAUUUUUUUAUUCAAGAUCUGUUCACAUGUACUUAGCAAGUACAUGUGCAGGUACACAUGAAAUGCAAACUAUUUACAUGGCAACGCACAGCUGGCAUCAAUCGUGAAUCGUUCAUCUAGAGCAAUUUUGGGGGCAGCUGCUGAGGAGAAGUCAAUGUUAUGUGCAACCUCUGUCUGUAUCUUGGUCAUAUGGUCAACGUACUCACAACGUGGAGGCUUAAAAAUGGCCAAAUCUUAUACCCAACCGUUUGUGUAUUAGAUGUGCGCCUCCAGGAAUUUAUAAUUCCGAAAAUGAUUCGCCGUGUAUGCACUGACUCCACAGACAAGGUACGCGAAAAUAUCGGGAUAGGACAACGGCGGUAGGCUGUGUUUCCACUCCACUGCCGUAUUUCAUACGGGUCCACAUUACCGAUGCACGCUAUUUUUUCCAAGUACCGUCUCUUGGCGUCUGGGCGCAAUCGGUCGCGAUACAGCCCUUUGUCUUUUGCGCUGAUUUUAAGCAUGGUUCUGACAGUCCUGCUUCCAACACAACAGUGUGUUUGUUUUGAUUUGUGGCCUUCUGUCAUGGCGCCGCGAUCCCACAAUGCACUGCGGCGUGACGUCAACUCCAAAGCCCUAUUGGGACACAGCCAUAUUGACACCACAGGGAAGUAAAACACAACACAAUGAGGAAGGAACAUAAGACUCUUUCAAAAUAAAACAGGAAACAUGGAGAAAAACACAGUAAUCAAAUAAUGAAAUUAAAUUACACAAAGCACUGGGUCGCAGACCUACUACUGUGACACACACAAAACAACAAAAACAUAUGAGGGGCCAUACAAGCCAAACAAAAAACGUAUGCACUGUCGUUAUGGUCAGAGGAAGCUUUGUGAAGCUUUGAAACAUGUAUUAAGGUUUAUCACUUAGAACUUUUCAACAUGGUCCUGUUUGGUUGUCAAAAAUAUGUAGUAUGAAUCUACAACUUGAAAUGAAGUGCUUCAUUAUGAUUGCCCACACUACAGAGCUGAAUUGACAGCUUCAUUUUUUCGGAUCCUGGUUUAGCAGAUCGCUGCCAUCUACUGGCUGGCUGGAGUUUUAAUUGUGUUUUCCAGUAUCUGCUGCACCACCAAGUUCAGUAUUUAGUAACCCGUGUUGAGUUUGAUGAGCAGCUCACAGCUGGAGCUCUGUGUGUUCAGUCUGAAGGUUUCAGGUAAACCAGCCUGUAGCUCCAGGUUGGCUGCACAGUUUGUGACAAACAUCAGAGCUCCUGCUGUUCACAUCAGGCUGCUCUCAUCCUUCCUUCUGCUCCCACAUUUAUACUGUGAGCAGCUCUGACUGACAACAUGCUGUCACACUGAAAACUUCACAUCAGCUUCUUCCUCCUCAACAAUUCAUCUUUACAGUCUGAUCUGCAGCUUCAAGGACCUCUCUGCUCCUGACUCUGUGCUGCUUUCAUUCACAUUUAGACCAUAUUCAUCAAAUGUUAUGUUAAUUUCUGAUGCUAGGGUUCAGUUUUCUAUGGUGCUGAUCGUAGGGUGUGCACUGGUUAAAUGCUUGUAUGGCCCUCAAGCAAAUGACAAGGCCAGGUGAUGAUCUUCCAGUUCUUUAAUUGGCAGAUUUUGCAGAACACUUGCGUAUGUGGGUUUGGCUGUGGUUGUUCUACAAAACAGAACACAGACUACAAUCCAAUGUAAACCACAAUAAUCACAUUAUUCGUAUGUCUGCAUUUGUUUCUCAGAAUAUAAAUCCACACUUGACUCUGUUGUUAG